Molecule: ribosomal RNA, 510 nt
Filed under: uncultured bacterium
Lineage: Bacteria
Description: partial 16S ribosomal RNA
Rfam family: Bacterial small subunit ribosomal RNA
Source: RNAcentral
GACGACCGCUGGCGGCGUGCUUAACACAUGCAAGUCGAACGAAGAGCGAUGGAAGCUUGCUUCUAUCAAUCUUAGUGGCGAACGGGUGAGUAACGCGUAAUCAACCUGCCCUUCAGAGGGGGACAACAGUUGGAAACGACUGCUAAUACCGCAUACGAUCUAAUCUCGGCAUCGAGGAUAGAUGAAAGGUGGCCUCUACAUGUAAGCUAUCACUGAAGGAGGGGAUUGCGUCUGAUUAGCUAGUUGGAGGGGUAACGGCCCACCAAGGCGAUGAUCAGUAGCCGGUCUGAGAGGAUGAACGGCCACAGUGGGACUGAGACACGGCCCAGACUCCUACGGGAGGCAGCAGUGGGGAAUCUUCCGCAAUGGACGAAAGUCUGACGGAGCAACGCCGCGUGAGUGAUGACGGCCUUCGGGUUGUAAAGCUCUGUUAAUCGGGACGAAAGGCCUUCUUGCGAAUAGUGAGAAGGAUUGACGGUACCGGAAGAGAAAGCCACGGCUAACUACGUG